This 55-nucleotide transfer RNA is filed under the name Tanythrix edura. RNAcentral describes it as "tRNA-Leu". Lineage: Eukaryota; Metazoa; Arthropoda; Insecta; Coleoptera; Carabidae. The record is from RNAcentral.
AUUAUUUUGGCAGAUUAGUGCGAUGAAUUUAGAAUUCAUAUAUGUAAAUAUUUAC